Molecule: transfer RNA, 72 nt
Filed under: Camelus ferus (Wild Bactrian camel)
Lineage: Eukaryota; Metazoa; Chordata; Mammalia; Artiodactyla; Camelidae
Rfam family: tRNA
About the family: Transfer RNA (tRNA) molecules are approximately 80 nucleotides in length. Their secondary structure includes four short double-helical elements and three loops (D, anti-codon, and T loops).
Source: Rfam by way of RNAcentral
GAGGGUAUAUCUCAGUGGUACAGGGCUUGCUUGGCAUACAAGAGGUCCUGGGUUCAAUCCCCAGCACCUUCA